UACGGAGGAUGCGAGCGUUAUCCGGAUUUAUUGGGUUUAAAGGGUGCGUAGGCGGAUCGUUAAGUCAGUGGUCAAAUUGAGGGGCUCAACCCCUUCCCGCCAUUGAAACUGGCGAUCUUGAGUGGAAGAGAAGUAUGCGGAAUGCGUGGUGUAGCGGUGAAAUGCAUAGACAUCACGCAGAACCCCGAUUGCGAAGGCAGCAUGCCGGCUUCCUACUGACGCUGAAGCACGAAAGCGUGGGGAUCGAACAGG
This 252-nucleotide ribosomal RNA is filed under the name uncultured bacterium. Its description in RNAcentral is "partial 16S ribosomal RNA". It matches the Rfam family "Bacterial small subunit ribosomal RNA", at positions 524 to 776 of the family's 1533-position model. The record is from RNAcentral.